AAUUACUUAGCUUACCUAAUACAAGCAGGUGUUUUGAAAGCACAAGACAGAAUAAUUCUAGUAAUUU
This 67-nucleotide transfer RNA is filed under the name Damon diadema. RNAcentral's name for it is "tRNA-Ser". Lineage: Eukaryota; Metazoa; Arthropoda; Arachnida; Amblypygi; Phrynichidae. The record is from RNAcentral.